UACGUAGGGUGCAGGCGUUAAUCGGAAUUACUGGGCGUAAAGCGUGCGCAGGCGGUUUGCUAAGAGAGAUGUGAAAUCCCCGGGCUUAACCUGGGAACUGCGUUUCUAACUGGCAGGCUUGAGCGUGGCAGAGGGGGGUGGAAUUCCACGUGUAGCAGUGAAAUGCGUAGAGAUGUGGAGGAACACCGAUGGCGAAGGCAGCCCCCUGGGCUAACACUGACGCUCAUGCACGAAAGCGUGGGGAGCAAACAGG
Molecule: ribosomal RNA, 253 nt
Filed under: uncultured bacterium
Lineage: Bacteria
Description: partial 16S ribosomal RNA
Rfam family: Bacterial small subunit ribosomal RNA
Source: RNAcentral